GAAAUAGAAUGAAAGGAAAAACGAUUUAUGUUCUUUCUUAAAUAUAUAAAAUUUAAAUUAUCCCAAGUAUAAAAACAUACUUACAUAUAAGAAAGACGACAAGACCCUAAAAACUUAAAUUUAAAUUUUCACUGGGGCAGUACAUAAUCAAACUUUAUUACCUUAAUAAUCUACCAAGCUAUACUCCUUCAAAACCAUAUAAAGUUACUUUAGGGAUAACAGCGUAAUUUAUAUUAAUAGAUCUAAUAAAAAUAUAAAAUUGCGACCUCGAUGUUGAAUUAAUAUCACUAUAAUGAGUAUAAACAUUAUUCUAGUAAGUCUGUUCGACUUUUUAAUUAUUACAU
RNAcentral lists this ribosomal RNA (344 nucleotides) under Ochyrocera sp. 531 FL-2019. Its description in RNAcentral is "partial large subunit ribosomal RNA". The record is from RNAcentral. Lineage: Eukaryota; Metazoa; Arthropoda; Arachnida; Araneae; Ochyroceratidae.